This 556-nucleotide ribosomal RNA is filed under the name 'Withania somnifera' phytoplasma. RNAcentral's name for it is "bacterial SSU rRNA". It matches the Rfam family "Bacterial small subunit ribosomal RNA", at positions 649 to 1214 of the family's 1533-position model. The record is from RNAcentral. Lineage: Bacteria; Bacillati; Mycoplasmatota; Mollicutes; Acholeplasmatales; Acholeplasmataceae.
AGAUAGAGGCAAGUGGAAUUCCAUGUGUAGUGGUAAAAUGCGUAAAUAUAUGGAGGAACACCAGUAGCGAAGGCGGCUUGCUGGGUCUUUACUGACGCUGAGGCACGAAAGCGUGGGGAGCAAACAGGAUUAGAUACCCUGGUAGUCCACGCCGUAAACGAUGAGUACUAAACGUUGGGUAAAACCAGUGUUGAAGUUAACACAUUAAGUACUCCGCCUGAGUAGUACGUACGCAAGUAUGAAACUUAAAGGAAUUGACGGGACUCCGCACAAGCGGUGGAUCAUGUUGUUUAAUUCGAAGGUACCCGAAAAACCUCACCAGGUCUUGACAUGCUUCUGCAAAGCUGUAGAAACACAGUGGAGGUUAUCAGUUGCACAGGUGGUGCAUGGUUGUCGUCAGCUCGUGUCGUGAGAUGUUGGGUUAAGUCCCGCAACGAGCGCAACCCUUAUUGUUAGUUACCAGCACGUAAUGGUGGGGACUUUAGCAAGACUGCCAGUGAUAAAUUGGAGGAAGGUGGGGACGACGUCAAAUCAUCAUGCCCCUUAUGACCUGGGC